GACGAACGCUGGCGGCGUGCUUAACACAUGCAAGUCGAACGGAAAGGCCCUGCUUUUGUGGGGUGCUCGAGUGGCGAACGGGUGAGUAACACGUGUGUAACCUGCCCCUGACUUUGGGAUAACUUCAGGAAACUGGGGCUUAUACCGGAUAGGAGCUCCUGCUGCUUGGUGGGGGUUGGAAAGUUUCGGCGGUUGGGGAUGGACUCGCGGCUUAUCAGCUUGUUGGUGGGGUAGUGGCUUACCAAGGCUUUGACGGGUAGCCGGCCUGAGCGGGUGACCGGCCACAUUGGGACGGAGAUACGGCCAAGACUCCUACGGGAGGCAGAAGUGGGGAGUAUUGCACAAUGGGCGGAAGCCUGAUGCAGCAACGCCACGUGCGGGAUGACGGCCUUCGGGUUGUAAACCGCUUUCGCAUGUGACGAAGCGUGAGUGACGGUAAUGAGUAAAGAAGCACCGGCUAACUACGUG
This 468-nucleotide ribosomal RNA is filed under the name uncultured bacterium. RNAcentral's name for it is "partial 16S ribosomal RNA". It matches the Rfam family "Bacterial small subunit ribosomal RNA", at positions 28 to 507 of the family's 1533-position model. The record is from RNAcentral.